GUUGGAACCUGGCUUUGCCACAGGCAUGCCUUCACAGAAGUCACUUAACUAAGUCUAGGUUCCUCAUCUGUGAACUGAGAAAACUAAAAGCACUGAUUCCAUGGGGUGCUGUGAGUAUUAAGUCCAUGGAAGGUUCUCAGGGGGUGCCUUCCCGGAGCAAAAUAUGCAUGUAACAAAUAUCAGCCAUCAUUAUUUCUACUAAAGCACUGAAAGAAACACAACUAAAAGACCUAAAACACAGCUUUAUAUUUUAUAGUGAUUUUGGGGGGGCAUGCCAUAGGAAAUGAUUUGAUAUCUGUAGAUUUUAAAGUCAAAAUGUUUCAUGGCUAAUUGAGAAAAAUCUUGGGCUCUUUAAGAUUAGUGUGAGGUUUAGAGAUAAUAAAUGUAAAGCAUGUGACAUAGUGCCUGACAGAUACUCAGUAAGUUGUAGGAGGUUCUAUUAUUACCAAUAUCAUCAUGAUUCAUACAUUUCUUUUCUCUCCACUUUGGCUUGACAUGUGGAUACAUGAGGCCAGUAGGAAGAAGUCACCCAUGACUAUCUGGAACAACAUUGUGGGGAAGGCCAAGUUUCUGGUGCGGUCUUACUAAGUUGCCCAGGCUGGUCUUGUACUCUUGGCCUCAAGCAAUCCUCCCACCUCAGCCUCCCAAAGCACUGGGAUUACACACAUGAGCUACUAGGCCCGGCCUCUUCUGUCUUUUUGUAGUGGUGACGUGUGGCAAAUGGAUUGUAAAUGAAGAUAGACUGUGUAAUGAAUGACGACACUAAAGACUAAUGUGAAGGACUUUAGGGAAAACAAAAGGCUUUCAUCUGAAAGGAUGAUCUGUGGACCAAGGUCACUCAUACCACUCACUGCUCAUUUUCUCAUGUUAUUUUAAAACUUUUUUCGGCCUUUAUACUGCUUUCAGCAGCAUUUGUGUGUAAGAAGUGGACGAUGACUUUAAUAAAGAGACCCGAAUGGAACUGAAUGGAGCAUUUGUUUUUGAAGCAACUUUUACUGUCCUCAGUUUUAUCUCAUAGAAGCCUCCCUCCAAGGGCACUGCCAUAGACUCAC
RNAcentral lists this long non-coding RNA (1052 nucleotides) under Homo sapiens (human). RNAcentral describes it as "HSALNT0324274". Lineage: Eukaryota; Metazoa; Chordata; Mammalia; Primates; Hominidae. The record is from RNAcentral.